GACGAACGCUGGCGGCGUGCCUAACACAUGCAAGUCGAGCGAAGUAUAUCUGAGGGAAAUUUUCGGAUGGAACUUAGAUAUAUCUUAGCGGCGGACGGGUGAGUAACGCGUGAGCAACCUGCCUUUCACAAAGGGAUAGCCUCGGGAAACUGGGAUUAAUACCAUAUAAAACUUGUCUUUCGCAUGAAAGAAAAGUCAAAGCGAAUAAGCGGUGAAAGAUGGGCUCGCGUCCUAUUAGCUAGUUGGUGAGGUAACGGCUCACCAAGGCGACGAUAGGUAGCCGGCCUGAGAGGGUGAACGGCCACACUGGAACUGAGACACGGUCCAGACUCCUACGGGAGGCAGCAGUGGGGGAUAUUGCACAAUGGAGGAAACUCUGAUGCAGCGACGCCGCGUGAGUGAAGAAGGCCUUCGGGUCGUAAAGCUCUGUCCUAGGGGAGAUAAUGACGGUACCCUAGGAGGAAGCCCGGCUAACUACGUGCCAGCAGCCGCGGUAAAAGUACUCUAC
This 508-nucleotide ribosomal RNA is filed under the name uncultured bacterium. RNAcentral describes it as "bacterial SSU rRNA". It matches the Rfam family "Bacterial small subunit ribosomal RNA", at positions 28 to 535 of the family's 1533-position model. The record is from RNAcentral.